This 1111-nucleotide long non-coding RNA is filed under the name Helianthus annuus (common sunflower). The record is from RNAcentral. Lineage: Eukaryota; Viridiplantae; Streptophyta; Magnoliopsida; Asterales; Asteraceae.
GUGAAGGUCUUAAGAAAUUGUCAAAUAUCGGACUAGAGGCUAAGUUAAAGGAAAGGGACAAAGUGCUUGAUAAUGGACAACAUCAUUUCUGUUGAAGAAAGAGUUUGCAAGGUUUCUGAAUAUCAACAACACACAUCCAAAGUCACAGAUGUUGAGGAAUUUGCAAACAGUGGACAUGUAACCAUUACAUCCUAAAGGUUCUUCAAGGUGAUGGAACAUUCACAGUUGAAUGGGACAAAUGAUUCAUUCAUGAAAGCAUGUUGGAUUUGACAUUCAAAAUUGCUUUGGGAAUUGAUGUUGACAGCAAUCAGCAUAACCAGGAAAUUUAAGGAAUUUUUAAAUAUCACACCAGAGGCUAAGCUAAAUGCAAGAAGAUCAAAGUGGUUGAUGAGUUUGUUUAUUAGCUGAUCUAGACCAAGACUGAACAAAUGAACAGGGGACAAGAUGAUUUCUAUUGAAGAAAGAAGACAUUCUAUCACAGAUGUUGAAGAAUUUGCAAACGGUGUGAGUGAAGAAAGCCUAGAAAAGAUACAGUAUCUUAAUGCAGAUUUUAACGAAACUCUCAAGACUCUAUCAUGCAGUUCCAGUGACUCACCAAAGGAACCCUUGAGCUGUUGUUACAAGUUGUGUCUGGUGGCAUUUGUCGCUCAUGGGCGAAACUUAUAAGCGAUGAAGAAUCAGUGGUUAAGAAACUUGCAUACGAUGACAACUUACCAACUGAUGAAGAGAAAAAGAACUGGCAAAUGAAGCAAAUCACCUCUACUGAAGAUUAAUGAAGAAGACUCGCCAAUGAAAAAGAGAUGUCACAUGUCAGCCUAUCAUUCGAUGAAGACAAUAUGCUGAGAAGAUGUUAUGCGUAACUGUCACUUGUCAAUUCCGUACAUCUCAACAAGAAUAUAAACACAUGUGUCCACAUUAAAUUUUUUUAUCACUUGACCCCAUAGCUUAGUGUGUCAAGCUUUUGAGUGCGAGUUCAGUGUGUGGCCUAUAUGUGUAAAACCUUCCAAGGAAAUUUGUAAGUCACCAUAUUCAUAGCUAGAGUGUUAGCUAGGAAAGUGUAUGUAAUUAUAACUUUAAUCCUUGGUUUAAAAAAGCAGGAAGCACACAAAAG